Molecule: unclassified non-coding RNA, 152 nt
Filed under: soil metagenome
Description: partial internal transcribed spacer 1
Source: RNAcentral
CCGAGUUAUACAACUCAUCCAACCCUGUGAACAUACCUAUAACGUUGCCUCGGCGGGAACAGACGGCCCCGUAACACGGGCCGCCCCCGCCAGAGGACCCCCCUAACUCUGUUUCUAUAAUGUUUCUUCUGAGUAAACAAGCAAAUAAAUUA